RNAcentral lists this ribosomal RNA (305 nucleotides) under uncultured bacterium. RNAcentral describes it as "bacterial SSU rRNA". It matches the Rfam family "Bacterial small subunit ribosomal RNA", at positions 338 to 657 of the family's 1533-position model. The record is from RNAcentral.
CCUACGGGGGGCAGCAGUGGGGAAUAUUGGACAAUGGGGGGAACCCUGAUCCAGCGACGCCGCGUGAAGGAAGAAGGCUUUCGGGUUGUAAACUUCUUUUCUCAGGGACGAAGCAAGUGACGGUACCUGAGGAAUAAGCCACGGCUAACUACGUGCCAGCAGCCGCGGUAAUACGUAGGUGGCAAGCGUUAUCCGGAUUUACUGGGUGUAAAGGGCGUGUAGGCGGGAAAGCAAGUCAGAUGUGAAAACCAUGGGCUCAACCUGUGGCCUGCAUUUGAAACUGUUAUUCUAGAGUAUGGGAGAGG